GUAGGUGGCAAGCGUUGUCCGGAAUUAUUGGGCGUAAAGCGCGCGCAGGCGGUCCUUUAAGUCUGAUGUGAAAGCCCACGGCUCAACCGUGGAGGGUCAUUGGAAACUGGGGGGCUUGAGUACAGAAGAGGAAAGCGGAAUUCCAAGUGUAGCGGUGAAAUGCGUAGAGAUUUGGAGGAACACCAGUGGCGAAGGCGGCUUUCUGGUCUGUAACUGACGCUGAGGCGCGAAAGCGUGGGGAGCAAACAGGAUUAGAUACCCUGGUAGUCCACGCCGUAAACGAUGAGUGCUAAGUGUUAGGGGGUUUCCCGCCCCCCUUAGUGCUGCAGCUAACGCAUUAAGCACUCCGCCUGGGGAGUACGGCCGCAAGGCUG
This 374-nucleotide ribosomal RNA is filed under the name uncultured organism. RNAcentral's name for it is "partial 16S ribosomal RNA". It matches the Rfam family "Bacterial small subunit ribosomal RNA", at positions 527 to 896 of the family's 1533-position model. The record is from RNAcentral.